AACGAACGCUGGCGACAGGCUUAACACAUGCAAGUCGAACGGACGUAGCAAUACGUUAGUGGCGCACGGGAGAGUAACACGUGGGAACCUACCUUUUAGUUCGGGAUAACGUCGGGAAACUGACGCUAAUACCGGAUACGCCCCAAGGGGGAAAGAUUUAUCGCUAAAAGAUGGGCCCGCGCUAGAUUAGCUUGUUGGUGAGGUAAUGGCUCACCAAGGCUACGAUCUAUAGCUGGUCUGAGAGGAUGACCAGCCUCACUGGGACUGAGACACGGCCCAGACUCCUACGGGAGGCAGCAGUGGGGAAUAUUGGACAAUGGGGGAAACCCUGAUCCAGCCAUGCCGCGUGAAUGAUGAAGGCCUUCGGGUUGUAAAGUUCUUUUGGAGGGGACGAUGAUGACGGUACCCUCAGAAUAAGCUCCGGCUAACUUCGUGCCAGCAGCAGCCGCCG
This 451-nucleotide ribosomal RNA is filed under the name uncultured bacterium. Its description in RNAcentral is "partial 16S ribosomal RNA". It matches the Rfam family "Bacterial small subunit ribosomal RNA", at positions 29 to 523 of the family's 1533-position model. The record is from RNAcentral.